AUGCAAGUCGAGCGAACAGAUAAGGAGCUUGCUCCUUUGAAGUUAGCGGCGGACGGGUGAGUAACACGUGGGUAACCUACCUAUAAGACUGGAAUAACUUCGGGAAACCGGAGCUAAUGCCGGAUAACAUAUAGAACCGCAUGGUUCUAUAGUGAAAGAUGGUUUUGCUAUCACUUAUAGAUGGACCCGCGCCGUAUUAGCUAGUUGGUAAGGUAAAGGCUUACCAAGGCGACGAUACGUAGCCGACCUGAGAGGGUGAUCGGCCACACUGGAACUGAGACACGGUCCAGACUCCUACGGGAGGCAGCAGUAGGGAAUCUUCCGCAAUGGGCGAAAGCCUGACGGAGCAACGCCGCGUGAGUGAUGAAGGUUUUCGGAUCGUAAAACUCUGUUAUUAGGGAAGAACAAAUGCGUAAGUAACUGUGCGCAUCUUGACGGUACCUAAUCAGAA
Molecule: ribosomal RNA, 451 nt
Filed under: Staphylococcus succinus
Lineage: Bacteria; Bacillati; Bacillota; Bacilli; Caryophanales; Staphylococcaceae
Description: bacterial SSU rRNA
Rfam family: Bacterial small subunit ribosomal RNA
Source: RNAcentral